This 933-nucleotide unclassified non-coding RNA is filed under the name Hevea brasiliensis (rubber tree). Lineage: Eukaryota; Viridiplantae; Streptophyta; Magnoliopsida; Malpighiales; Euphorbiaceae. The record is from RNAcentral.
AGUCUGGUGGAAUGGAUCAGGCCAUCUCUGUUAUGGCAAAAUCUGGGUUUGCUGAGCUGAUUGACUUCAAUCCUAUACGUGCAACUGAUGUACAACUGCCUGAUGGUGGCACUUUUGUGAUAGCCCAUUCAUUAGCUGAAUCACAAAAAGCAGUUACUGCUGCAGUUAACUAUAAUAAUCGGGUUGUUGAAUGCCGACUAGCUGCUAUUGUACUGGGCAUUAAGCUGGGGAUGGAACCUAAGGAGGCGAUAUCUAGUGUAAAAACUCUUUCUGAUGUUGAAGGGUUGUGCGUAUCAUUUGCUGGUACACACAGUUCUUCUGAUCCUGUCCUUGCUGUCAAGGAGCUAUUGCAUGAGGAACCAUAUACCAGCGAAGAUGUUGAGAAUAUCACCAAGGAAAAGGUGGAAACAAUCUUUGCGGCCUCACCAACUUCUUUGGAUGUGCUUCGUGCUGCUAAAUGUUACAAGUUGCAUCAGAGAGCUGCCCAUGUAUAUUCUGAAGCCAAACGUGUGCACGCUUUUAAAGACACCGUGUCGUCAGAAUUAAGUGAUGAAGACAUGUUGAAGAAGUUAGGUGACCUUAUGAACGACAGUCACCAUAGCUGCAGCGUCCUUUAUGAGUGCAGUUGUCCAGAAUUAGAAGAACUUGUGAAGAUUUGUCGAGAUAAUGGUGCUCUUGGAGCUAGGCUUACAGGAGCCGGAUGGGGUGGUUGUGCAGUGGCUUUGGUGAAAGAGAGUCUUGUUCCACAAUUUAUACUCAAUUUGAAGGAGCAAUUUUAUCAAUCAAGAAUUGACAAAGGAACCAUCAGUAAGAAUGAUCUUGGCUUGUUCAUUUUUGCAUCCAAGCCUUCAAGCGGUGCUGCUAUUUUAAAAUUUUAGGUCUUGUUAUCCUAGUUAACUUUUAUUACCUUCAGCAUUUUCAGUCCAAAAAUAA